This is a long non-coding RNA of Zea mays, 897 nucleotides long. RefSeq lists it as uncharacterized. Lineage: Eukaryota; Viridiplantae; Streptophyta; Magnoliopsida; Poales; Poaceae. The record is from RefSeq and is a predicted model, not a curated record. The transcript has 2 exons.
CACUCGCUCUCGCUCACUCAACCCGCGCCCGGCUCGCUGCGCCGCCGCCGGUCCAUCCCCGUCCUCGGCCAACCACUGUCGCGGCCAGCCAUUGAGCGCGGCCACUGGCCCCUUGCGCCGCCCGUUCCCCGACACUGCCGCCUUUUCCCGGCGACGCCCCUUCCCGGCAGUUCCCCGGCAACCGCCACCGACCUCGACCCGGCUCCCCCGUGCGUGACGCCGCUCCUCCUCCUCUGCGCCGCAGUCCCUCCCCGGCGCCGCCGCACGCUCUGGCCACCUUCUUGACGCCACCACGCGCGUACACUAUUUUUUGAGGUCUUCAUAGCUGUUGCGGGUCUGACUGUACCGCGUCGCGUCGCCACAGUCCCGCUAGCUUGAUUCCACUGUCACCCUAGGUAUGACCACUAUUUUCGCAUCAUAGUCGUAGAUCACGUAACCCAGUUAAGUGUCCUCCCGUUCGAAAUAGAUACAAUGUAGAUAUAUAGAUCUUUGCAUAUCUAUAAAUGUUAUUUAUUUUGAAUUGUCUAUGUUUUUAGACAGCCCAUGGUUGUGUAGAUGAUAUUAGUUUCCAUGUGCACGCCGCGUGACCUAGACAUGUCCAAAUGGGCUGGCCUGGCAGUGGGCCCGUGACCUGGCACGGUCAUAGCCCGGCACGAGCACGACCCGACUAGAACCGUGCCCGGGCCGAUAGCCGUGCUGGGCUUGGGCUGGCUGUCUGGCCCGCGGUGCAGGCACGGAUCCGGCACGGUUAAUUGGUAGGCACGAUAACGUCCCGUUUUAGGAACUUAUUUUGUAACUGUCAGUCUGUUUUUAGCUAUAAUACUGAUGAUAUGUUAUUAUAUAAGAGUAUUCUGAAUUGUGAUAUGUGUUUAUGUGUAUAUGAAAUUGUUUGUCUAA